This 468-nucleotide ribosomal RNA is filed under the name uncultured bacterium. Its description in RNAcentral is "partial 16S ribosomal RNA". It matches the Rfam family "Bacterial small subunit ribosomal RNA", at positions 28 to 507 of the family's 1533-position model. The record is from RNAcentral.
GACGAACGCUGGCGGCGUGCUUAACACAUGCAAGUCGAACGGAAAGGCCCUGCUUUUGUGGGGUGCUCGAGUGGCGAACGGGUGAGUAACACGUGAGUAACCUGCCCUUGACUUUGGGAUAACUUCAGGAAACUGGGGCUAAUACCGGAUAGGAGCUCCUGCUGCAUGGUGGGGGUUGGAAAGUUUCGGCGGUUGGGGAUGGACUCGCGGCUUAUCAGCUUGUUGGUGGGGUAGUGGCUUACCAAGGCUUUGACGGGUAGCCGGCCUGUGAGGGUGACCGGCCACAUUGGGACUGAGAGACGGCCCAGACUCCAACGGGAGGCAGCAGUGGGGAAUAUUGCACAAUGGGCGGAAGCCUGAUGCAGCAACGCCGCGUGCGGGAUGACGGCCUUCGGGUUGUAAACCGCUUUCGCCUGUGACGAAGCGUGAGUGACGGUAAUGGGUAAAGAAGCACCGGCUAACUACGUG